This is a long non-coding RNA of Cloeon dipterum, 312 nucleotides long. RefSeq lists it as uncharacterized. The transcript has 2 exons. The record is from RefSeq and is a predicted model, not a curated record. NCBI's taxonomy places the organism in Eukaryota, Metazoa, Arthropoda, Insecta, Ephemeroptera, Baetidae.
UCUCUUUGUCUAACGCGUCAACGGUCAACCGCCGUUCAAAUCGAAUUAAUCGAAGUUAUUAACGGACGCAGGACGCCGGACGCCGCCAAUAAGGGACAUCACGGACGUCCCGCGGACUCGGAUGGAUGGCCUGGGAUCUUACGGUUAACAGGCUUCAAGCCGUCCGCAGAUGUUUUGCACGACGGGAAAAGAUACAAUCGUUUAAGUUCUGCAGUUUGGGCUUCAAGAUUGGCGGUGCUGGCAUCGAAUGAGAGAAAAUUUUGUACCUGAUAUGAUGAAAAACCAAUAAAUUUUAAAAAUUUAACUAAAUAA